Molecule: ribosomal RNA, 457 nt
Filed under: uncultured bacterium
Lineage: Bacteria
Description: partial 16S ribosomal RNA
Rfam family: Bacterial small subunit ribosomal RNA
Source: RNAcentral
CCUACGGGAGGCAGCAGUGAGGAAUAUUGGUCAAUGGGCGCUAGCCUGAACCAGCCAAGUAGCGUGAAGGAUGACUGCCCUAUGGGUUGUAAACUUCUUUUAUAUGGGAAUAAAGUGCAGUAUGUAUACUGCUUUGCAUGUACCUUAUGAAUAAGGAUCGGCUAACUCCGUGCCAGCAGCCGCGGUAAUACGGAGGAUCCGAGCGUUAUCCGGAUUUAUUGGGUUUAAAGGGAGCGUAGGCGGGUUGUUAAGUCAGUUGUGAAAGUUUGCGGCUCAACCGUAAAAUUGCAGUUGAUACUGGCAUUGUGGAGUGCAGUAGAGGGAGGCGGAAUUCGUGGUGUAGCGGUGAAAUGCGUAGAUAUCACGAAGAACGCCGAUGGCGAAGGCAGCCUGCUGGACUGUAACUGACGCUGAUGCACGAAAGGGUGAGUAUCAAGCAGGAUUAGAUACUGUAGUC